This is a long non-coding RNA of Quercus lobata, 622 nucleotides long. RefSeq lists it as uncharacterized. NCBI's taxonomy places the organism in Eukaryota, Viridiplantae, Streptophyta, Magnoliopsida, Fagales, Fagaceae. The record is from RefSeq and is a predicted model, not a curated record. The transcript has 3 exons.
CAUGCCUAGUGUAUCCUACCUGCUCAUUUAUUUUUGUUUUCCUUCGCUGUGUUUUAUAACUAUCCUAGUCUUCUCCUUUCUAACUCCCAAGCCAGUCCCAUACUCUGUGCUCUAUAGCCGAGAUUCUCUCUCCUUCAAUCUCGCCCAUUCUCUUGCUUGCUCAUCUCCGCCAAUCUUGUGAACUUAGACUUGUGUAGAUGUACUGAAAAUACAUGAGAAAAGACAUAGAAAAUGAUACUAUUGCCAGAAUGGAAAUUUGGAAUGGAAGGUUUAGGAAAGAUAUUUACAAAUUUGAAUCCGAGAACACUGAAAAAGUAUGCUGGGCAUGGAUGCCAGAGAUGAUUCACAUGACCAGUAAAAUCUAACUAAAAGACAGUCAGGGAGCUGUUCAAAGCGAGCAAGGACGUUUUGUAUCCAGUUUUUGUUUUUGUGAGGGAUUGAGAUCCUACGGCAAUAGUUUUAAUCUUAACUAUUUAUUUAAUUCAAUGGAUAGAAAAUUGACAUCUUAAAAAUCAUUAUGAAAUUUGGAUUGACUGUAUAGAUGGGUAUUUUGCUAGUGGAUAGUAUAUUUUGUUUCUUGUAAUUCAUUUUAAAGAUAUAAACUGUGGCUCAUUUGGUUUUU